UACGUAGGGACCAAGCGUUGUUCGGAUUUACUGGGCGUAAAGGGCGCGUAGGCGGCUUGACAAGUCACUUGUGGAAUCUCUAGGCUUAACCCAGAACGGCCAAGUGAUACUGUCGUGCUAGAGUGCAGAAGGGGCAAUCGGAAUUCUUGGUGUAGCGGUGAAAUGCGUAGAUAUCAAGAGGAACACCUGAGGUGAAGACGGGUUGCUGGGCUGACACUGACGCUGAGGCGCGAAAGCCAGGGGAGCAAACGGG
RNAcentral lists this ribosomal RNA (253 nucleotides) under uncultured bacterium. Its description in RNAcentral is "partial 16S ribosomal RNA". It matches the Rfam family "Bacterial small subunit ribosomal RNA", at positions 524 to 776 of the family's 1533-position model. The record is from RNAcentral.